This 480-nucleotide ribosomal RNA is filed under the name uncultured Chytridiomycota. Its description in RNAcentral is "bacterial SSU rRNA". It matches the Rfam family "Eukaryotic small subunit ribosomal RNA", at positions 624 to 1108 of the family's 1831-position model. Lineage: Eukaryota; Fungi; Chytridiomycota. The record is from RNAcentral.
AAGCUCGUAGUUGAAUUUCCGAUUUGAUUAGGUGGUCUUUACGUAUGUAAUGUACUACUUUGAUCGAAUCUUUCCUUCUAGCGAACUAUAGUGUUAUUUAUUUAAUGCUAUAGGGAACUAGGACUUUUACUUUGAAAAAAUUAGAGUGUUUAAAGCAGGCUUACGCUUGAAUACAUUAGCAUGGAAUAAUAAAAUAGGACUUUGGUUUUAUUUUGUUGGUUUCUAAGACCGAAGUAAUGAUUAAUAGGGUCAGUUGGGAGUAUUAGUAUUUAAUCGUCAGAGGUGAAAUUCUUGGAUUGAUUAAAGACUAACUUCUGCGAAAGCAUUUACCAAGGAUGUUUUCAUUAAUCAAGAACGAAAGUUAGGGGAUCGAAGACGAUCAGAUACCGUCCUAGUCUCAACCAUAAACGAUGCCGACCAGGGAUCAGCGGGUGUUACUAAUAGGACCCCGCUGGCACCUUAUGAGAAAUCAAAGUCUUU